UUUCCAUAGAGGAGGCUUUGCAUCAUCAGCUGAUCCUCCAGUGAACUCACAAGGUUUAUAGUGGUGUGAGUUCAACACUGCAGGACUCACAUGUGUCAGUCAACACAGCAGGAAGCACAAGCAGCAUGACUCUCAUCACCAUCCUCAUCUGGACGCUGCUCUGCUGCUGCUUUACAGGAUGCAGUGGUCAGGUGACGGUGACUCAGCCUCCAGUGGAGACGUUCACUGCAGGAUCCACUGUGACGCUCACCUGUAAAACCAACACAGAUGUUUUUAGGUGGAAUAAUGCUGACUGUAUGUCCUGGUACCAACAGAAACCUGGUCAGAGCCCAAAGCUCCUGAUCUAUUAUGUAGAAAAGCUGCAUUCAGGGACACCAGAUCGGUUUAGUGGCAGUGGAAGUGGCUCUGACUUCACUUUGACCAUCAGAGGAGUUCAGGCUGAAGAUGCUGCAGUUUAUUACUGUCAGAGUGCUCAUAGUGGUGGAGUGUUCACGUUUGGUGGAGGAACCAAACUCAUCGAGUUCUCUGGUCCCGUGGUCAGACCCUCCGUCUCUCUGCUUCCUCCGUCCUCUGAGCAGCUCUCUGGGGGCUCGGCCACGCUGGCCUGUCUGCUGAGCGGCUACUCUCCUCAGGGAGCCGUGGUGAGCUGGGAGGUGGACGGUAGCGAGGUGACAGAGGGCGUCCAGAGCAGCUCAGAGGAGGAGAAGAACGGACGCUUCAGCAGCAGCAGCACCCUGACCCUGAGCCAGGAGCUGUGGAACAAGAGAACCCUGUACACCUGCAAGGUCCUCCAUCACGACCACAGUCAGGUCCAGGUCUUCCACAAGAGCCAGUGUCAGGACUAGAGGAGCUGUGUGUGGGAGAAGAGGAACAGACCUGCUGCUCUGAGCAACAUGAGUUUAAUGGAGUGAAAGGAAAGCUUCAUGUGAGAAACGUGUGGAGCUCCAUGAAUGUGUGUCUGCUUAAUGAGUGACCUGAUGAUUCUUGACUUUGACAAUAAAGCUUCUACUGAUAUUAA
This is a non-coding RNA of Betta splendens (Siamese fighting fish), 1018 nucleotides long. The record is from the annotation of a RefSeq genome assembly. Lineage: Eukaryota; Metazoa; Chordata; Actinopteri; Anabantiformes; Osphronemidae.